GCCGAAGUGGCGGAACUGGCAGACGCGCCGGACUCAAAAUCCGGUUCCCCUCGGGGAGUGUGGGUUCGAUUCCCACCUUCGGCA
This 84-nucleotide transfer RNA is filed under the name Gaiella occulta. Its description in RNAcentral is "Rubrobacteridae bacterium F2-223 tRNA". It matches the Rfam family "tRNA". Rfam says of the family: Transfer RNA (tRNA) molecules are approximately 80 nucleotides in length. Their secondary structure includes four short double-helical elements and three loops (D, anti-codon, and T loops). The record is from Rfam by way of RNAcentral. Lineage: Bacteria; Bacillati; Actinomycetota; Thermoleophilia; Gaiellales; Gaiellaceae. RNAcentral also lists the same sequence under 5 other names.